AUUGAACGCUGGCGGCAGGCCUAACACAUGCAAGUCGAACGGUAACAGGAAGCAGCUUGCUUACUUGUUGCCGAGUGGCGGGUGGGUGAGCAAUGUCUGGGAAACUGCCUGGUGGAGGGGGUUGACUACUGGAAACGUAAGCUAAUGCCGCAUUACGUCACAAGGGGAGAGAGGGGGACCUUCCGGCCUUUUGCCAUCGGAUGUGCCCAGAUGGAGUUAGGUAGUUGGUGGGGUAACGGCUCACCUAGGCGACGAUCCGUAGCUGGUCUGAGAGGACGACCAGCCACACUGGAACUGAGACACGGCCCAGACUCCUACGGGAGGCAGCAGUGGGGAAUAUUGGACAAUGGGCGCAAGCCUGAUGCAGCCAUGCCGCGUGUAGGAAGAAGGCCUUCGGGUUGUAAAGUACUUUUAGAGGGGAGGAAACGAGUAAAGUUAAUACCCUGGGUUAUUGACGUUACCCGAAGAAGAAGCACCGGCUAACUCCGUG
Molecule: ribosomal RNA, 490 nt
Filed under: uncultured bacterium
Lineage: Bacteria
Description: partial 16S ribosomal RNA
Rfam family: Bacterial small subunit ribosomal RNA
Source: RNAcentral